CGAGCGGCGGCAGGAGCCAGGCGACAGGGCGGUGGCCGGGUGGUGAUGGUGAUCCGUGGCCCGGCGGUGCCAGCCAACGUGGCUGGUCAGGCACGCCAGCAGAGAGCAAUGUUUUAAGGUGGAGAGUGAAGGAUACAAUAUCCAACCAAUCCAAUUCUAGCAGAUGGGUGCAGAUGGGACCUUUGGAAGUCAUCUACUCCAUCCCCUGCCCCACAGCAGCGGCAGCCAGGUGGAUGGUGCUUCAAAACCAACAACCACAACUUUGUCCAAACAUCCAGGUAGUGCUUUAACACUAUGGCUCUUUGUCCUCCUGAUGGAAAAAUCCAGAUGGAAAGAAGUGUGGUUCACAGGGAAAUGAUCAUGCUCUACUCUGGGCUGCUGGAGAAUGAUUGACUAGCCAGACCUUCAGGUCAAACCUGCCUUGGCACUUUUUGCACCUGUCUUGGGAAUCAGGUGUCCACAAUAUCCAUUACUAAAUAUCGAAUUAUAUAAUGUGGGCAGCAAACAGCCAGCAUCUGCCUCACAGGCUGGAAAUAUAUUUGUCACUACACACCAAGAUUCAUUUCACAGUGGCAGCAAGGAGGAGGAUGACGAGAGAUCCAGAGUGAAGCAGCAAAAGAAAAACAUUUAAAGCAACUUUCAAUGGUUGAGAUGAUGAGGAGAAACAACUGAUGAUAUGGAUCUCUAUCACCUGGGCAGGAACACCCUUGCCCCAUGCAAUGAUGCUAACACAGACACCAGUGCCCUCACACCUUCCCCCUCAGGUUUUGGAUCCUACUUGGCUUUUUAAGGUAUUGUUUCUAAUACUGCUUCUUUUGGUGAAACGACUUUGUUCCCAGCUUGGUUCUGCAGUUAGGAACAGAUUCCCCUUCAUCUUGGGAGGAAGGCAAGUGAUGGAAAUGCUGCAGCUGUUGGCAAUGCUGCAAGAGCACUGCCAGCAUCUGGGAGCUUUCUUUUGCCCUUCGGCUGCCCACCUCUGAGUUACAGGGUCCCACUUGCUAUUCGGAGGGAGAUUAAGCCUUUCUGAAAAUGAACAGGUUUAACAGAGCACAAAAUUACUUUGAAUCUGUCUCAUCCAGGACAUCCUACAACUGGGUCCUUUUGCCAGGCUUCCAGCAUCUAGGUAAAAGCAGCUCCAGGGUAUGCUUAAUCCUGCUCUGGACACGAGGUGAGCGAGCGCAUAUCCUUUACAUGUUGAGGUUUUAGUAGGUAUGUGUGUAUGGGGGAAACGACACUACAGACAUCUGUUUGCCUUCCAUGCUUGAAAGGAAAAUCCUCCCAUUUCAGCACUGAACCUUUACCUUCAAAUGCCAAUUUGCUGUCUUUUUUCAGUGAAGACAAUAGUGAGAAACUGUUCAGCACAGGUGGUUUACCCCCAAAACAAAAGCAAAUUCAUGGCUGUCCAGGAAUUUGGAAGCUCUGGGUAGAAGGGAUUUUCUAUUUCUAUUCUGCUGGGUGAGGUGUAUAUACCAGAGUUUUCUGCUUCUGUUCUGUUGCGCAGGUGCAUGUAUCGGUGAGGGAACAAGCGUACGUGCAGGUCGGCUCAGAAGGGAGGAUGCUUCUGCUCAGGGGACAUAAUGGCUGCUGUGGUGCUGGAUCGGGUCCUGAGAGGGCUGCCCUGAGCUCUGCCCUUCUCCUGCCACUUACUCUUGACCAUUGCCACAAGUAAAGGCUGAGAUUGCGUAGGUCAGUUCUAACCCAAAAGGUCAGAUCUGCUCUGAAAUGCAGGAGCCCAGCGGUGGCUCAGCUCACCUGCGCCCUUUUCUGUAUUCCUGGCACCAUCAGGCACAGGCAGGCGGUUACACACUUGCCGACUAGCGGAACAGAAAAGCAGCCCGUAGAGCUGAGGUGCUUUCUUAUCCUGACGCGCUAAAUGCCUGCCCCGCUUUCUCCACCCGUGGUGACAGCAGGCUGUGCUAGGGUCUGCUGAUCCCCCCUGCCCCUUUUCCUGCCUUUCUCAAGUCAUAAACAGUUGUCAUUAUCGAGUGACUCCGUCCGGCCCCUCCAUUAGCUCAAGCAUCCUGUUGAUCGGUCACAACCCGACUGAUGGCAGGCGAGACCUCCAUGGCUGAAAAUUCAGGCUCCCUCUGCUAGCAGAGGUGCUGGCAUGGUGGUGGCGAGGCUCCCUUCACCUGCUGGCUGCUUACGUCUCCGUGCAGGAUGCUGCACCUGGAUUUCACAGCUUUUCUGCGUGGCUACUCACAGCCUCCUAGUGGGAUCUGAUAGCACCAGCCACCCCACCCUGGCAGAGACCUGGCACCUCUUGGCACAGGAAUGCAGCCUGCUACCCCCGGAGGAAAUAAAAGACAAAAUCCUGGCCAAAGCAGGAGCCAUGAGAGCAGAGCUAAGGUUCUGGCUGCCUAAAUGUUUAUCUUCAGUCUGUAUUUGAUGUUUGGGUAACAAGGUGACCGGCUUCCUACGGAAACCUAAGGCAGGUUAAAUGACCCAGAGGAAAACAGUGGUUUUCCUGAGCUGCAGGACAGAGGAUGUGCAGAGCCUCACCAUUGCUCACUCGCAGCCUCUGUGCCUGAGGAUUUCAUGCAGCGUCUCUUCCUAAGCCCUUCAGAUGAGGGCUUGCAGUCUGGUCGAUACAGUCGCGCUUCUUUUUUAUUUCUAAAAGGAAUGGCUGUCCCUUUGUACUGUGUGCGUUUUGUCAUGCUGCUUUGGUUCACCCACCGUUUUCCCAAGUUUGCUAAAGAAGCUGUCUCUGAAAACAAGAAUGGAGAAAAAGAAAACUAUCAAAGACUUUUGGAAUUUGUUUUACAUAUGGGGAGAGAUUUUUCAAAGGCAGAAAGGAGAGUCUAUCAGGUUAUGUGCCUGAGUACUAUUUAUGCCCUUGAAAAUCUUUUGCUUACAGUGCUUAAUUGGUCUGCGCAAAUCCAUUGCCAGAAGAGGUAAUUGACCAUUUUUAUAGAAGGAUCAGUAACAAAACCACUCCAGGUUAUUGUUCUAGAAAUUAAAAAAAAAUUAGGAAUUAUGGAAAGAAUAUGUUUCAGGGCAUCAGCCAGCCUCCUGAAACUAUGCAAAUUCACUCGGUGAGAACAACAGCAGACACAAUGAAAUGAGUUGUAUACGAAGAACUGAGCUCUCAAAUGUGAUAUUAUGCAGAAGGUAAAGAGUCUGUACUAGAUAAGUAACAGCUCGAUGUGUUAUCAAGGGUGCACUUUGAUUUUGAUGAAUGUUAGAAGAACCUUUAGCCUUGAAAAUAAAGAGGAUAAUUUCUCUCUAGGCAAUGGCUGCUCAUGAAAGUCAUAAAAUAAGAGCACUGGAGCCCUAAUUUUAUAGUGCUUUUUAAAUGAUUUUCAAAUGGUCCAGCUGCUUUGUGCCACAAUAACACAAGGCAGAGAUAUUUACACCGGCGAUAACAAGCAUGCAUCAGCCUGCCCGAGCUGCUCUCCGCAGGCAGCCUGCAUUAGGCGAAACACACAUGGAAAGCUGGUACUUGCCAAUGCGGAUUGAUCACAAUUACACCGUGGCCUGAGCGAUCCUGGGAAGCCGCUUUUUCCACCAGACAGCUUGAUUGUUUUUCUAGUCUGUGUCUCGCCUGCGAGGCACGGGAUGUACGCACCCGGCGAUGCUGGUUCUAUUUUGACACUUGAGAGCCUGCCAGCUCUGUGUACCUCUUAGGCCAUGCCGUCCUUGGCAGGCUUCUCUUUUCAGAAACAGGAGGGUGGAUGCAGCCCGGGGUUGCACCGCUGUUUUUUGGUGGGAGUUUCUCCCGCGAUUAAUUUGGCCCCAGUGUUGGUGUUCCAACAUUGCGCUGCGCUGUCUCGCACAGGAAUGCAUGUGUGUGGCAAAUGACAUCUGGGCAGAUCCUACCUAGUUCUGCUGACGUGCUGGAAUUGCCACCAGCAACUUUCCCCAGGUAUUUUACCUCGGCAUGUCUAGGACUUCAGUCUAAAACUAUAAUUUGUUUUCCCGGACCUGUUCUAAGAUAAGAACUACCCCAGGGUGGUCUAGCUUAGCUUUCCAAUUUGGGUAGUCAUUUCAAAAGUCUGAUUAGUAUUUUAUCUUUGCAGGCCCCUUUCCUUUGCGAGACAUGGAUGAAAGACAGGAUACUGGGAGAAACCUGCCCUUGGAGCAAGCCAGGUAUGGCUGAAAGACCAGUUCCUUUAUGAAACACCCCUGUCAGAUUAAAGAACUUGGCUCUUUGUGCAUUCACCAUUGCUCAAGACACAGCAAUGUUUGUGUAAAAAGAAUUUUGGUAGGAAUGGGGAAUUCUGAGCAUGAAAAGAAGGCUAAUUUGUGGCUGAAAAAAUAUUAUAUUUGCUGUAAAUCUCAGGUCCCUAAAGCUAAGAUAGAGCUGGGCAGAGGGCAUGGCGGCAGGAAGGUACCUCUGGGAAGUCCUCAGCCAUUGAGCAUAUAUUGUCACUGGGGCGGGAAAAUUCUGUCUCCCAUCUUGGUGACUUCCUGUACAUGUUGGACUACAGCAUUUUUCCCCCUUUUCACUUGCUGAUCCCAAUGCAGCAAAACAGGUUAGCUUCUCUUUCUGUCCAGGGAUAUCCUUAAGAGCUUGAGCUUUAAACAGGAGCCUGUUUUCUCUUGGACUUGAGUUUUAAUGAGCAGAAGGGACAGCAAACUGGGAAUGUAUCCAAAUGGAGUAUCUAGCACAUUUGUUGCCUCCACUUAACCAAAUGAUUGAGGAGUGACUGGAGCAUCUGAAUUUCAGAAACCUUCUACCCCCUGAACAGAGAGGAAAGAUAGGUUGGAUGCCAGAGCUUUAGGUCAUGUUCCUUUCAUCUUUAUCUCAUAUUCAGAUUGUCUGAUGUUCCUCCCUGUCACUUUGAUCUUUUUUUAUUUCAUAAGAGUUUAGAGUUUACAUAGGUGUAUCCUGUAUCUCGGUUCAAUAUGUAAAUCCUGCAGCUUGAUGAAAUUGCUUGCUACUGGAUAACUCUUUGGAUAACAUUGCCUAGAGCAAAGCGGGAGAAGAUCAUGAGGUAAGCCAGCACAAGAGAAGCAGAUCUGCUUUUUUCUAAGAAUACAGGGAACGAAGAUUUUACCUUCAAAAUAGAAAUGAAUUCAUGUAGCACUGUUCCAGGCUGCACGGAAUGGUGCCACGGUCACAGAUUGCGUAAGUUCAUACUGCCUCACUUGCAUCUCAUCUCGCCUUAUCUCUGAGAGAUCCAAUUUAUGGUAGCUGAGAUAAAGUAGCCUCCAGGGUAUUACAUUCAUCCCUUUCAUAAAUCAAGAACUGCUUUUUGUUACUAGAGAUCUAAAUCCAGAAAGAGAGGAAAACACAUGGCGUUAGGUUUUGUAAACGGCCAAUUGGCAUGUCUCUGCCAUAGCUCUUUGCAGCUUUUGGCUGUUUCUCAAAGCAGAAAGUAACAGGGUUUGUGUUCUGUAUUCUGAUGAAUCAAUACAGAAAACCAGAAAAAAAUCAGUGAUUUCCCACUGAGAAUUCGGAACUCUCUCCUCCACCAAAAUACAGCAUCAUUCGUUUUUAUAAUUGGUUGGUUUUUUUCUCCUGCUACAGAAGAUGCAUGCUGAUGAUUACCAGUAGACUGUGUGUGAUCCUUGCCACUGAUUUGGACACAGUUUUGUGGCUACUCCUAAUCUUUCAGGAUCCUGCUGUCCUCCCACCUGCCAACGGAGACAUGUCUGUAAGUGGAUAAUUAGGCUUACCCAAGUGGUUGAGUGAGGUUUAGUUAAUGCUGCUAAAGUAAUUUGUGAUUGCUUAAUCAAAGUGCUGCAUAAGAGCAGCCGUUUA
This is a long non-coding RNA of Falco peregrinus (peregrine falcon), 5707 nucleotides long. RefSeq lists it as uncharacterized. NCBI's taxonomy places the organism in Eukaryota, Metazoa, Chordata, Aves, Falconiformes, Falconidae. The transcript is spliced from 5 exons. The record is from RefSeq and is a predicted model, not a curated record.